This 117-nucleotide ribosomal RNA is filed under the name Microcebus murinus (gray mouse lemur). Lineage: Eukaryota; Metazoa; Chordata; Mammalia; Primates; Cheirogaleidae. The record is from RNAcentral.
AUCCACGGCCACACCACCCUGAACACACCUGAUCUCGGAAGCUAAGCAGGGUCGGGCCUGGUUAGUACUUUGAUGGAAGAAAACAUUACAACAGCCUGUGAAAGACAAGUGUGUAAC